GAUGGGAAGGAGGUCAAACCAGGGAAGUGGUAAGAGGGCUAUAAGAUCUCCCAGAGCACCCACCUUCUGCCCUUGCAGCAGGCAUCUGGGCAGACAGGAAGCAGGGCUGGGGAGGAGUGGACAGGAUGGGCUGGCAAGGGACAGGAAGCACUUGGAGCACCAGGGAGGAAGGGAGGGGACAAAUCCCACCACCUAGCAGACCACAGGAAAGCCCCAAUCAUGGGCACUUCUGGCCUUCCCCACAGAAGAAUCCUGCCUUUUCCUCCAUAGUGAAAUUGGCAGCAGAAACAAAGGUGAAUUGGACAUUCUCCCACUCACCAGGAUAUUAGUGCCUCUUACAGGGGGACAAACGCCAGUGACAUAAAUAAUCAAGGGCCUUGAAGCAUCCCAAAUGACAGCAAGCCAGGACUCUGAGAUGGAACUAGGCACACCGGAGUUCCUAUCCUGAUUCCAGGCCCAAGAUCCUAAGCCCUGCAAGAUAAACAUUCUGUCCAUCCAAUGAGGAAGUGGAUGUAAAGGAGCUCAAAAAGAAGAAGAAGAAGAAGAAGAAGAAGAAGAAGAAGAAGAAGAAGAAGAAGAAGAAGAAGAAGAAAAAGAAAGAAAGAACAAAAGAAAAAAAGAAAAGAAAAAAGAAAACAGAAACAGAAUUGUCCAAGGAAACACAACUGAUUAAUGACAGGAUUUGAGCCCAUGUCCUGAAAUCUAGCAGGAUUUAAAACUAAGUCUGACUAUCCCUAAGACCUGGGGAUUCUGUUUGUUUGUUCUUUUUAAAACUAAACCACCAUUUGAAUGAAUAAUUGUGAAUAAAUGAUGGUGAAUAAGUCAA
This is a long non-coding RNA of Leopardus geoffroyi (Geoffroy's cat), 826 nucleotides long. RefSeq lists it as uncharacterized. The transcript has 2 exons. The record is from RefSeq and is a predicted model, not a curated record. NCBI's taxonomy places the organism in Eukaryota, Metazoa, Chordata, Mammalia, Carnivora, Felidae.